CCUACGGGAGGCUGCAGUGGGGAAUAUUGCACAAUGGGGGACACCCUGAUGCAGCGACGUCGCGUGAGUGAAGAAGUAAGUAGUUAUGGAAAGCUUCAUGAGUAGGGGAGAAAAUGACGGUACGUGAGUAAGAUGCCCCGGAUCACUCCGUGCCAGCAGCGCCGGUAAUACGUAGGGGGCAAGCGUUAUCCGGAUUUACUGGGUGGAAAGGGAGCGUAGACGGCUGUGCAAGUCUGGAGUGAAAGGCGGGGGCUCAACCCCCGGAUUGCUCUGGAUACUGUACGGCUGGAGUGCAGGAGAGGUAAGUGGAAUUCGUAGUGUAGCGGUGAAAUGCGUAGAUAUUAGGAGGAACACCAGUGGCGAAGGCGGCUUACUGGACUGUAACUGACGUUGAUGCUCGAAAGCGUGGGUAGCAAACAGGAUUAGAUACCCCAGUAGUC
RNAcentral lists this ribosomal RNA (440 nucleotides) under uncultured bacterium. Its description in RNAcentral is "partial 16S ribosomal RNA". It matches the Rfam family "Bacterial small subunit ribosomal RNA", at positions 338 to 795 of the family's 1533-position model. The record is from RNAcentral.